ACCAACAGGGAUUGCCUCAGUAACGGCGAGUGAAGCGGCAACAGCUCAAAUUUGAAAUCUGGCCCGUUCCGGGUCCGAGUUGUAAUUUGUAGAAGAUGCUUCGGGUCGGGGCCUGGUCUAAGUUCCUUGGAACAGGACGUCAUAGAGGGUGAGAAUCCCGUAUGUGACCGGUGCCGCGGCCCGUGUGAAGCUCUUUCGACGAGUCGAGUUGUUUGGGAAUGCAGCUCAAAAUGGGUGGUAUAUUCCAUCUAAAGCUAAAUAUUGGCCAGAGACCGAUAGCGCACAAGUAGAGUGAUCGAAAGAUGAAAAGCACUUUGGAAAGAGAGUUAAAUAGUACGUGAAAUUGUUGAAAGGGAAGCGCUUGCAACCAGACUUGCGCGCUGCUGAUCAUCCGGGGUUCUCUCCGGUGCACUCGGUAGCGCUCAGGCCAGCAUCGGUUCCGGGGGUGGGAUAAAGGCCUUGGGAAUGUAGCUCCUCUCGGGGAGUGUUAUAGCCCUCGGUGCAAUGCCGCCACCCGGGACCGAGGACCGCGCUUCGGCUAGGAUGCUGGCGUAAUGGUUGUAAGCGACCCGUCUUGAAACACGGACCAAGGAGUCUACCAUCUAUGCGAGUGUUUGGGUGUCAAACCCAUACGCGGAAUGAAAGUGAACGGAGCUAAGAAGCCUCAAGGCGGCACUAGCGACCGGUCCUGAUGUCUUCGGACGGAUCUGAGUAAGAGCAUAGCUGGUGGGACCCGAAAGAUGGUGAACUAUGCCUGAAUAGGGUGAAGCCAGAGGAAACUCUGGUGGAGGCUCGCAGCGGUUCUGACGUGCAAAUCGAUCGUCAAAUUUGGGCAUAGGGGCGAAAGACUAAUCGAACC
RNAcentral lists this ribosomal RNA (859 nucleotides) under Chloroscypha chamaecyparidis. Its description in RNAcentral is "eukaryotic LSU rRNA". It matches the Rfam family "Eukaryotic large subunit ribosomal RNA", at positions 64 to 941 of the family's 3401-position model. Lineage: Eukaryota; Fungi; Ascomycota; Leotiomycetes; Helotiales; Gelatinodiscaceae. The record is from RNAcentral.